Molecule: unclassified non-coding RNA, 309 nt
Filed under: plant metagenome
Description: partial contains 5.8S ribosomal RNA, internal transcribed spacer 2, and large subunit ribosomal RNA
Rfam family: 5.8S ribosomal RNA (bases 1-105)
Source: RNAcentral
GAAAUGCGAUAAGUAGUGUGAAUUGCAGAAUUCAGUGAAUCAUCGAAUCUUUGAACGCACAUUGCGCCCCUUGGUAUUCCAUGGGGCAUGCCUGUUCGAGCGUCAUUUGUACCCUCAAGCUCUGCUUGGUGUUGGGUGUUUGUCCCGUCUCCGCGCGUGGACUCGCCCCAAAGUGAUUGGCAGCCGGCGUACUGGUCCCGGAGCGCAGCACAUGUCGCGCAAACGAGUGCCUUGGUACGGCGGCGUCCAUAAGCCCCUCUCUCACGCUCUUGACCUCGGAUCGGGUAGGGAUACCCGCUGAACUUAAGC